RNAcentral lists this ribosomal RNA (599 nucleotides) under Paecilomyces variotii. RNAcentral describes it as "eukaryotic LSU rRNA". The stretch from base 216 to 369 matches the Rfam family "5.8S ribosomal RNA". Lineage: Eukaryota; Fungi; Ascomycota; Eurotiomycetes; Eurotiales; Thermoascaceae. The record is from RNAcentral.
UCCGUAGGUGAACCUGCGGAAGGAUCAUUACCGAGUGAGGGUCCCUCGGGGCCCAACCUCCCAUCCGUGUUGUCCUGACACCUGUUGCUUCGGCGGGCCCGCCGUGGUUCACGCCCCGGCCGCCGGGGGGUUCACGUCCCCGGGCCCGCGCCCGCCGAAGACCCCUGGAACGCUGCCUGGAAGGUUGCCGUCUGAGUAUACAAUCAAUCAAUUAAAACUUUCAACAACGGAUCUCUUGGUUCCGGCAUCGAUGAAGAACGCAGCGAAAUGCGAUAAGUAAUGUGAAUUGCAGAAUUCCGUGAAUCAUCGAAUCUUUGAACGCACAUUGCGCCCCCUGGCAUUCCGGGGGGCAUGCCUGUCCGAGCGUCAUUGCUAACCCUCCAGCCCGGCUGGUGUGUUGGGCCGCCGUCCCCCCUCCCCGGGGGACGGGCCCGAAAGGCAGCGGCGGCGUCGCGUCCGGUCCUCGAGCGUAUGGGGCUCUGUCACACGCUUCAGUAGAACCGGCCGGCUUGCUGGCCAUCACCUAUAUUUUUCUCUUAGGUUGACCUCGGAUCAGGUAGGGAUACCCGCUGAACUUAAGCAUAUCAAUAAGCGGAGGA